GAUGAACGCUGGCGGCGUGCCUAAUACAUGCAAGUCGAGCGAACAGACGAGGAGCUUGCUCCUCUGACGUUAGCGGCGGACGGGUGAGUAACACGUGGAUAACCUACCUAUAAGACUGGGAUAACUUCGGGAAACCGGAGCUAAUACCGGAUAAUAUAUUGAACCGCAUGGUUCAAUAAUGAAAGACGGUUUUGCUGUCACUUAUAGAUGGAUCCGCGCCGCAUUAGCUAGUUGGUAAGGUAACAGCUUACCAAGGCAACGAUGCGUAGCCGACCUGAGAGGGUGAUCGGCCACACUGGAACUGAGACACGGUCCAGACUCCUACGGGAGGCAGCAGUAGGGAAUCUUCCGCAAUGGGCGAAAGCCUGACGGAGCAACGCCGCGUGAGUGAUGAAGGUCUUCGGAUCGUAAAACUCUGUUAUUAGGGAAGAACAAAUGUGUAAGUAACUAUGCACGUCUUGACGGUACCUAAUCAGAAAGCCACGGCUAACUACGUG
This 497-nucleotide ribosomal RNA is filed under the name uncultured bacterium. Its description in RNAcentral is "partial 16S ribosomal RNA". It matches the Rfam family "Bacterial small subunit ribosomal RNA", at positions 28 to 507 of the family's 1533-position model. The record is from RNAcentral.